CGGGGUGCAGCAGGCGCGAAAACUUUACAAUGCCGGCAACGGCGAUAAGGGAACCUCGAGUGCCAGGUUACAAAUCUGGCUGUCGUGAUGCCUAAAAAGCAUUGCAUAGCAAGGGCCGGGCAAGACCGGUGCCAGCCGCCGCGGUAACACCGGCGGCUCGAGUGGUAACCGUUAUUAUUGGGUCUAAAGGGUCUGUAGCCGGCCGGGUAAGUCUCUUGGGAAAUCUGGCAGCUUAACUGUCAGGCUUUCAGGAGAUACUGCCUGGCUCGAGGCCGGGAGAGGUGAGAGGUACUUCAGGGGUAGGGGUGAAAUCUUGUAAUCCUUGAAGGACCACCAGUGGCGAAGGCGUCUCACCAGAACGGACCUGACGGCAAGGGACGAAAGCUAGGGGCACGAACCGGAUUAGAUACCCGGGUAGUCCUAGCCGUAAACGAUACUCGCUAGGUGUCGGCCACGGUGCGACCGUGGUCGGUGCCGUAGGGAAGCCGUGAAGCGAGCCACCUGGGAAGUACGGCCGCAAGGCUGAAACUUAAAGGAA
This 538-nucleotide ribosomal RNA is filed under the name uncultured archaeon. RNAcentral describes it as "bacterial SSU rRNA". It matches the Rfam family "Archaeal small subunit ribosomal RNA", at positions 326 to 864 of the family's 1478-position model. The record is from RNAcentral.